CUGCUCUCCGCCAGAGAACUACAAGUGAAAAACUUCAAACUCAAAGGACUUGGCGGUGUCCCAUAUCGACCUAGAGGAGCCUGUCCUAUAAUCGAUACUCCCCGGUCUACUUAACCUCAACUAGCACCCCAAAAGCUAUUUACCGGCGUCAACAGUCUACCCCAUGAGGGCCCAACAGUAGACACAAUAGCCUAACCGCUAGCACGUCAGGUCAAGGUGUAGCACAUGUUGAGGGAGAGAUGGGCUACAUUUUUUACAUUAAAAAACACGAAAUGCAACAUGAAACCCUGCAUGAAGGUGAAUUUAGUAGUUAGAUUCUAUGAGAGUAUUUAUCUUAACAACGCUCUGGGACGCGCACACACCGCCCGUCA
Molecule: ribosomal RNA, 371 nt
Filed under: Eremias velox (rapid racerunner)
Lineage: Eukaryota; Metazoa; Chordata; Lepidosauria; Squamata; Lacertidae
Description: partial 12S ribosomal RNA
Rfam family: Bacterial small subunit ribosomal RNA
Source: RNAcentral